RNAcentral lists this ribosomal RNA (253 nucleotides) under uncultured bacterium. RNAcentral describes it as "partial 16S ribosomal RNA". It matches the Rfam family "Bacterial small subunit ribosomal RNA", at positions 524 to 776 of the family's 1533-position model. RNAcentral also lists the same sequence under 2 other names. The record is from RNAcentral.
AACGUAGGAGGCGAGCGUUAUCCGGAUUCACUGGGCGUAAAGCGCGUGCAGGUGGCUUGGUAAGUUAGGCGUGAAAUCUCCCGGCUCAACUGGGAGAGGUCGUCUAAUACUACCGGGCUAGAGAACAGAAGAGGAAGAUGGAAUUCCCGGUGUAGUGGUGAAAUGCGUAGAUAUCGGGAGGAACACCAGUGGCGAAGGCGAUCUUCUGGUCUGUUUCUGACACUCAGACGCGACAGCUAGGGUAGUAAACGGG